GCCGCUCAGAGCGCUCCAGGCUGGGUUCCCGGGCCCCGCCGCGCCGCCUCCUUCCCAGCUCGCCCGCCCAGGCCUGGCCUCCUGCUUUUCCAUUUGAUUCCCUGCCUCUUUCUAUUCGGACUGGAAUGCCGGGCCAGGCUCCGGGGCGCGCCGCUGCGGCAGCCGCACCUCGCAGGUCCCCCGGCCGACCCCGACGCGGAAGCGGCGGCCCUCCUCGCCGUCGGGGAGCCAGGGAGCCGGGGACGAUCAGUCACAUAAGGCUUAGAGGAUCAAGGAUCCUGCCCAGAUGACUUACCGAAAUGUUACAGAUUAAGUUGGUGUGGUAACCUGGGCUGAGCACUCUGGGAGAGGAAGAGAAGAGAGAAGACAGGAAACAACUGAACUAUGACCAAUCCCAGCACGGAGGCCCAGAAAACUUUAAGAUUUGAGUAUUAAUGUCUCAAGGUCAGGAGCAACCUCAAGGCUAAAACUCAGAUCUCAGGACUCAAUUUCACAGAAGUUCCACUAUAAAGGCAAUAAUCUAAAGCUUUAAAUGAUAUGAAAAUUUUGUAAUAAGAGUUCAGUAUUUCUGCCAACAUUGGCGCAUGGAUUGCAAAGUUCACAGGAUUGAAAACACCAUCGACAUAAUGGAAAUUGAACAGCAUCUGAUUACUGAGUGCUAUAUCAGCAAGUUAAAAGGAUCUUUUGCAUACCUUUUAAUGGUAUAUAUCCUAAAACUGAAGUGUUCAAUAUAGACAUCCAGAUUGAAACUCAGGCAGUGAAUUACAUACACAACAAAUCAGUUGAACAUGGCAGAGCUUGUCAGACUUAUGAAAGAUUAAAUACAUUUUACAUUUCCACAAGUGUGGUAUUCACAGGUCUAAAUUGGAAAAUUCUUGGGUUGAAGAAGAAUAAUCAUAAUCUUAGCUUCACUCAUUGAGGAAACAUUAUUCAGGGAUGAUAAGAGGUAAAAUCUUAAAAAUAUUGACAAGCUAAUGAGAGAACUUUGAGGUAAGCUGAUAUGCAGGUAUAGUUAGGACUGGGAAAAGCAAGAAAAUGGAAGGAUGGGUUAGAGGGUGGCACUACACGGCUGAUAUAGUUUGGAUAUCUGUCCCCAUCCAAAUCUCAUGUUAAAUUGGAAUCCCCAAUUCUGGAGGCAGAGCUAGAAGGCAGAGCCUGGUGGAAGGUGUUUGCAACAUGAGGAAGGAUCCCUCAUGGCUUGGUGCUGUCUUAACAAUAAUGAGUGAGUUCUCCCGAGAUCUAGUCAUUUAAAAGGGUGUGGCACCUCCCCCCCCCCCCGCCCCCGCCAACUCUCUCUUGCUCCUACUCUGCCAUAUGAAUGUUUGUUCCCCCUUUGCCUUCAGCCAUGAUUAGAAGCUUCAUUAGGACUCCUCAGAAGUAGAUGUUGGUGCCAUACUUCCUGUAUAGCCUGUAGUACCAUGAACCUCUUCGCUUUAUAAAUUACCUGGUCUUGGGGAUUUCUUUAUAGCAAUGCAAGAAUGACCUAAUACAGAAAACUGGUACUGAGAAGUGAGUCAUUGCUGUAGAGAUACCUGAAAAUGUGGAAGCAGCUUUGGAACUUGGUGACAGGCAGAAGUUGGAAGAGUUUGUAGGGCUCAGAAGAAGACAGAAAGAUGAGGGAAAGUUUGGAAUUUCUUAGGGACUGGUUAAAUGGUUGUGACCAAAAUGCUGAUAGCUAGGACAUGAACAGAAUGCACCCAAGCACUUUGCUAAGGCAAAACAUGCGUGACCUUUGCUCUAGUUCCCAAUAAUUUCCUUAUUUCCAUUCGAGACCUCAGAAGCCUGGACUUCAAACCAAAAUGCUGAUAGUGAUGUGAACAGUGAAGUCCAGGCUGCUGAGGCCUCAGAUGGAAAUUAGGAACUUACUGGGAACUAGAGCAAAGGUCACACAAUGUUAACGCCUUAGCAAAGAGCUUAGCUGCCUUCUGUUCAUGCCCUAGGAAUCUGUGGAAGUUUGAACUUGAGAGUGAUGAUUUAGGGUAUCUGGCAGAAGAAAUGUCUAAGCAGCAAAGUGAUCAAGAAGUGGUGUGGCUGCUUCUAGCCACUUAUAUUCAGAUGUGGGAGCAAAGACAAAAGGUAGAACUUAUAUUUAAAAGGGAAGCAGAGCAAAAAAAGUUUGGAAAAUUUGCAGCCUGGCCAUGUGGCAGAGAAAGAAAAAAGCUUUUUCAGUAGAGGAAUUCAAGCAGACUGUGGAACAAUUACUUGCUAGAGAUGUUUGCAGGAUUAAAGGGGAGCCAAGUGCUACUAUCCAAGACAAUAGGGAAAAAGCCUUGAAAGCAUUUCAAAGAACUUCAGAGUGGCUUCUCCCAUCACAGGCCCAGAAGCUUAGGAGGAGAGAAUAGAUUCAUGGACUGGGCCCAGGGCCAUGGUACCUUGCACAGCCUUGGGACACUGCUCACCACAUCCUAGCUGCUCCUGUUCCCACUCUUGCCAUGGCUCAAAGGGGCCUACAUACAGCUUGGACUGCCACUUUGGAGAAUGCAAACAGUAAACCUUGGUAGCUUUCAUGUGGUGUUAAGCCUGCAGGCACACAAAGUGCAAGAAUCGUGGAUUCUUGGCAGCCUCUGCCUAGAUUUCAGAGGACAUAUGGAAAAGUCUGUUUGUCCAGGCAGAAGCCUGUUACAGGGGUGGAGCCCUUACAAAGAACCUCUACUAGGGCAGUAUAGAGGGGAAAUGUGGGGUUGGAGGCUCCAACAGGGUCACCGCUGGGGCACUGCCUAAUGGAACUAUACGAAGUGGGCCACUGCCCUCCAGACCUAAGGAUGAUAGAUCUACCAGCAGCUUGUAUUCUGCACCUGGAAAAGCCACAGGCACUCAACUGCAGCCCAUGAGCGCAGCCUUGGAUUCUUUACCCUGCAAAGCCAUAGGGGCAGGACUGCUCAAGGCCUGGGGAGCCCACCCCUUGUACCAGUGUGGCCUGGAUGUGGAACAUGAUGUCGAAGAUUAUUUUGGAACUUUAAGAUUUAGUGACUUCCCUACUGGGUUUUGGAGCUGUGUGGAUCCUGUAGACCCUUUCUUUUGGCCAAUUUCCCCCUUUUUGGGAUGGAAACAUUUACCCAAUCCCUAUACCCCCAUUGUAUCUUGGAAGUAAAUAAUUUGUUUUUGAUUUUACAGGCUUAUAGGUGAAAGUGACUUCCCUUGUCUCCAAUGAGGCUUUGGACUUUGGACUUUUGAGUUAAUGCCAGAAUGAGUUAAGAUUUUGGGGGCCUAUUGGAAAGGCAUGAUUGUAGUUUGCAAUGUGAGAAGGACAUGAGAUUUGGAGAGGCCAGAGGUGGAAUGGUAUAGUUCAGAUAUUUGACCCAGCCCAAAUCUCUUGUUGAAUUGUAAUCCCCAAUGCUGGAGGUGGGGCCUUCCUUGUAUGAUGUGUUUGGAACAUGCAGGCAAAUUCCUCAUGGCUUGGUGCUGUUUUCAUGAUAGUGAGUGAGUUCUCCUGAGAUGUGGUCAUUUAAAAGUGUAUGGCACCUCCCCCCACUCUCUAUCUCUCUUGCUCCUGCUCUGCUAUAUGAGACACCUGUUCCCCGUUUGCCUUCCACCAUGAUUGAAAGCUUUGUGAGACCUCCUCAGAAGCCAAGCAGAUGCCAGUGCCAUGCUGCCUGUAUAGCCUGCAGAACCACAAGCCAAGUAAACCUCUUUUCUUUAUAAAUUACUUAGUCUCAGAUAUUUCUUUACAGCAAUGUAAGAAUGGCCUAAUACAAUAGCCUAAACUAAUUUGAGGGAGGUGAUGUGUCUCUUGCUACACAAAGUAUGGUUCAUGGACUAACAGCAUUGGCGUCACCAGGAGGUUGUCAGAAGUACAGACUUUCAGUUCCCUUCCCAGACCUAAUAAAUCAGACUCUCCAAAAAGUUUUGGGAGCACUGCUCCAGCCAAUGACUUGUGGUAGAAUUCUGUUUUUGCCUCAACAGCAUCCAUUCUCCUUUCAGUAACAACUCCUAGCUUCUACUUUGGGGAACUUUCCAUCUCCCACACUCAGACCUAGGGUUCAGAUGUGGCUAACCUAGCCCUGUGCAGCCAGAGGAAGGCACAUGAUCCAGGCCUGGCCAAUGACAGUGCCUUAUGACCCAGCCAGAGUGACUGGUUCAGCAAAGAGGGUGUAAUAUGAGCUGAGCCAAUGAGACUUAGUCCUGGUACUUUUGGGAAAGAAAUGCUCCCCUUCCUGAGUUUGCUGAGCUGAUAAGAUAUUCAUCUACAGCAGCCAUCUUUCCACUACCUGAGAAUGAAGCCAACAUAGGAAAAUGGAGCUGAGAAAUGAGAGAGAUCCUAACAAAUUCAUUUAUCCACUCACUACCGGAUCUAAAUCCUGGGCUUUUUAGUAACUCAAGCCAGUAUAGUCUUCAUUUCUUUGGCCAGUUCAAACUGGAUGUCUACUAGUUACAACUGAAAGAAUCCUAAUACAUCAGUCUCUUCCUGUCCCUGAAAUUCAUUAGGCUCAUUUUGAAUCUUUGAUAUUUCCUUUUCCUCUCUUCUUUGUCUGUGUUU
RNAcentral lists this long non-coding RNA (4477 nucleotides) under Homo sapiens (human). RNAcentral's name for it is "non-protein coding USP46-AS1:5". The record is from RNAcentral. Lineage: Eukaryota; Metazoa; Chordata; Mammalia; Primates; Hominidae.